Pelobates cultripes (western spadefoot toad) is the source of this 96-nucleotide non-coding RNA. NCBI's taxonomy places the organism in Eukaryota, Metazoa, Chordata, Amphibia, Anura, Pelobatidae. The record is from the annotation of a GenBank genome assembly.
GCUAGAUGAUGAUCCGUAGUGUCUGAGCAUACUGUAGUUGGUCCUCUGUUUGCUUUUGAUGUAACCCUAUUGUUUCAAGACGGGACUGAUAGCAGC